This 379-nucleotide ribosomal RNA is filed under the name uncultured eukaryote. RNAcentral's name for it is "partial 18S ribosomal RNA". It matches the Rfam family "Eukaryotic small subunit ribosomal RNA", at positions 592 to 975 of the family's 1831-position model. The record is from RNAcentral.
CAAUAGCGUAUAUUAAAGUUGUUGCGGUUAAAAAGCUCGUAGUUGGAUUUCUGCUGAGAACGACCGGUCCGCCCUCUGGGUGUGUAUCUGGCUCUUUCUUGGCAUCUUCUUGGUGAACGUUGCUGCACUUGACUGUGUGGAGCGCUACCCAGGACUUUUACUUUGAGGAAAUUAGAGUGUUUCAAGCAGGCAUACGCCUUGAAUACAUUAGCAUGGAAUAAUAAGAUAGGACCUCGGUUCUAUUUUGUUGGUUUCUAGAGCUGAGGUAAUGAUUAAUAGGGAUAGUUGGGGGCAUUCGUAUUUAACUGUCGGAGGUGAAAUUCUUGGAUUUGUUAAAGACGGACUACUGCGAAAGCAUUUGCCAAGGAUGUUUUCAUUG